AACGCGUGAGCAACCUGUCCCAGACAGGGGGAUAACACUUGGAAACAGGUGCUAAUACCGCAUAAGACCCACGGGGUCACAUGGGCUCUGGGGUAAAAAGGAGCAAUCCCGGUUUGGGGUGGGCUCGCGUCCGAUUAGAUAGUUGGUGAGGUAACGGCCCACCAAGUCGACGAUCGGUAGCCGACCUGAGAGGGUGAUCGGCCACAUUGGAACUGAGAGACGGUCCAAACUCCUACGGGAGGCAGCAGUGGGGAAUAUUGGGCAAUGGGGCCGAAAGCCUGACCCAGCAACGCCGCGUGAGUGAAGAAGGCCUUCGGGUUGUAAAGCUCUGUUAUAGGGGACGAAGGAAGUGACGGUACCCUAUAAGGAAGCCCCGGCUAACUACGUGCCAGCCGCGGC
Molecule: ribosomal RNA, 399 nt
Filed under: uncultured bacterium
Lineage: Bacteria
Description: bacterial SSU rRNA
Rfam family: Bacterial small subunit ribosomal RNA
Source: RNAcentral